RNAcentral lists this microRNA (21 nucleotides) under Marchantia polymorpha subsp. ruderalis. Lineage: Eukaryota; Viridiplantae; Streptophyta; Marchantiopsida; Marchantiales; Marchantiaceae. The record is from RNAcentral.
UGCUAGACCCGAAUCCUCUUC